GACGAACGCUGGCGGCGUGCUUAACACAUGCAAGUCGAACGGAAAGGCCCUGCUUUUGUGGGGUGCUCGAGUGGCGAACGGGUGAGUAACACGUGAGUAACCUGCCCUUGACUGUAGGAUAACUUCAGGAAACUGGGGCUAAUACCGGAUAGGAGCUCCUGCUGCAGGGUGGGGGUUGGAAAGUUUCGGCGGUUGGGGAUGGACUCGCGGCUUAUCAGCUUGUUGGUGGGGUAGUGGAUUACCAAGGCUUUGACGGGUAGCCGGCCUGAGAGGGUGACCGGCCACAUUGGGCCUGAGAUACGGCACAGACUACUACGGGAGGCAGCAGUGGGGAAUAUUGCACAAUGGGCGGAAGCAUGAUGCAGCAACGCAGCGUGCGGGAUGACGGCCUUCGGGUUGUAAACCGCUUUCGCCUGUGACGAAGCGUGAGUGACGGUAAUGGGUAAAGAAGCACCGGCUAACUACGUG
RNAcentral lists this ribosomal RNA (468 nucleotides) under uncultured bacterium. RNAcentral describes it as "partial 16S ribosomal RNA". It matches the Rfam family "Bacterial small subunit ribosomal RNA", at positions 28 to 507 of the family's 1533-position model. The record is from RNAcentral.